Molecule: long non-coding RNA, 1060 nt
Organism: Oncorhynchus tshawytscha (Chinook salmon)
Lineage: Eukaryota; Metazoa; Chordata; Actinopteri; Salmoniformes; Salmonidae
Exons: 2
Source: RefSeq, a predicted model, not a curated record
CAACAGGACACCUGAUGGGGUUUUAUAUUGCCACCAACAGGACACCUGAUGGGGUUUUAUAUUGCCACCAACAGGACACCUGAUGGGGUUUUAUAUUGCCACCAACAGGACACCUGAUGGGGUUUUAUAUUGCCACCAACAGGACACCUGAUGGGGUUUUAUAUUGCCACCAACAGGACACCGGAUGGGGUUUUAUAUUGCCACCAACAGGACACCGGAUGGGGUUUUAUAUGGCCACCAACAGGACACCUGAUGGGGUUUUAUAUGGCCACCAACAGGACACCUGAUGGGGUUUUAUAUUGCCACCAACAGGACACCUGAUGGGGUUUUAUAUUGCCACCAACAGGACACCUGAUGGGGUUUUAUAUUGCCACCAACAGGACACCUGAUGGGGUUUUAUAUUGCCACCAACAGGACACCUGAUGGGGUUUUAUAUUGCCACCAACAGGACACCUGAUGGGGUUUUAUAUUGCCACCAACAGGACAGCUGAUGGGGUUUUAUAUUGCCACCAACAGGACACCUGAUGGGGUUUUAUAUUGCCACCAACAGGACACCUGAUGGGGUUUUAUAUUGCCACCAACAGGACACCUGAUGGGGUUUUAUAUUGCCACCAACAGGACAGCUGAUGGGGUUUUAUAUUGCCACCAACAGGACACCUGAUGGGGGUUUAUAUUGCCACCAACAGGACACCUGAUGGGGUUUUAUAUUGCCACCAACAGGACACCUGAUGGAGUUUUAUAUUGCCACCAACAGGACACCUGAUGGGGUUUUAUAUUGGUUGAGAUCACCUGAUAAGGGUUUAUAUUGCCACCAACAGGACACCUGAGCUUCUCUGGUGUAAAUGCAUCAUUAUCAAUGAAGACAUGGCACAAAAUGGGUAAUUAUUAAUGUAAAGUACCAUGGCUUUUUUUAAUUACAAUGUGUAUUUUGUUGUACAUAUUUUCUGCUUGAAUGGUACUGCAGAGCAAACCAAGCGGCUUUGUUUCUCAUUGUCACUCUUUAACUGAAAAGUCAUUUUUUACAGUUUGUCCCUUCAAAAUAAACAUUUCAUUUCUUAAA